Molecule: non-coding RNA, 27 nt
Filed under: Homo sapiens (human)
Lineage: Eukaryota; Metazoa; Chordata; Mammalia; Primates; Hominidae
Source: RNAcentral
UAUCAUGUUGCCAAGGAUAUGGAGGAA